Molecule: long non-coding RNA, 2356 nt
Filed under: Eptatretus burgeri (inshore hagfish)
Lineage: Eukaryota; Metazoa; Chordata; Myxini; Myxiniformes; Myxinidae
Description: lncRNA (ENSEBUG00000017277.1)
Source: RNAcentral
AACCAACUCCAGUCGAAUGUCACGCCUGCCCAGCUCAUUCGUGAAAGACUUGCACUAGUCUAGCAUGCUUUAUGAGCUGCCAACCCCAUACUGAAAAUGGGAUAUGGAGUAAAAUUAUUAUGCAGAGUGUGGAGGAAGAAGGGAGUGAUGUUUUUGUUUUCUUUUCUCAUCCAGGACUAUAUUCUUUGCUGAUACCAUGCGGUGGGUGGAACUAUCACCCCAUAGCAAUGAAAUGUUUGAGGAUGAGGUCAAUGUGACAGAGAUUGUGUUCUUCACAAAGCACAAAGAAUUCUUCCAGCGUACGUGGAGAGACCAGGGGAAGGUCUUCUGGCGAAGAUUUGUGUUUUGUUUCAAGCUUUACAUUCAAAAGUAUUUGUACCCCAAGUGUAAAAUAGAGGAUCGCACUCCUUUAAUGAGAUGUGUGGAAGAAAUGCAGGAUUACAUCUUCUUUAAUUACUGCAAUGCGAAGUUUGCAACUGCAAGGGCCUUUAUGAACAACCUGAUAAUUCUUGGACUAUCAACAGAAAUGAUAGCAAGCAUAGGAAAAGGCUACAUGAAAGAUCCAUUUUAUGGCAAACAAACUCGAGGGACUUAUCGAGGGCUAUUUGGUCAUCCAGACUCUCCUGUCACUUAUCUAAAGGCAAUGCUGAUCCAGCCAAUGUACCUGCGCUUCUUCCAUGCAGUGAUUACCUUGAUGAGGGUAUGGCAAGGGUCGCCAGAUUGUUCCGACGAUGAUGAGUCAUAUUGCCCAAGAUACAUCAUAGAGGAGAUGUUUGUGGACAGAAUCAAGAAGAUCGCUGAAAGCUCAUCAGAAGACGAAAGUAGUAACUCAACUACAAGUUCUCAGAAUCAACAGGAACAUGAACAACUCAAGGAUGAAGAACUCAAGAAGACGGAAAAUACCAAUAAUACAAAAAAACCAAAGACAGAGACCCAGCCACGCAAGGUCUCCAGAAAAACACUGAAAGCAAAUGCAUUUGCUGCUAAGAAACUGUCCAGGAUGAAUAAAGCUUCAUCCAAAAAAGCGGAGCCCGAUACGGAAUACUACGCAAUCAUAUGUGUUCGCCGAGGAGGGGAGUACAAAUCGAAUAAUGAAGAAGAGGAAAAAGAAGAAGAAUCAUGUUCGAAAGUUAAACGGAAACACGACGACACUGCCGUGCCUCCUGAACCUCGUGCUGAACAACUUGAUGACCUUGAAGAUUUCACAAUACCAGAUUUCUACUUCCAACAAGCAUCUCAUCAUGAUGAAGACUUGACAUUUGAAUUUGAAUUCAUGACUAUGGAUGAUGGCAGUGAAGGUGACCUUGCCGAUGUGGUUAGGUUUCAUGAGUGUACAUCAUGUUUCACCUUUGAGCACACUCCAGAUGUGUUCAAGCAGUGCAAACGGUGCAAAACGGAGCACUGGUUACUACCCAAGUAUUACUGCAGUCAAAAAUGCCAAGGUUAGUGGGUAUGACGUGGCUGUGCCAAACACUAUUGGAGCCCUUUUUGUUUUUGAUCAUUUUAAUAUCUUUGGUGUUUGAGAUUUUAAUUUUUUUGGAGUUGGAUUUGUUGAUCUUGAGGAAGCAACAGUUGUGGAGGAUCAAGAACUGCAAGACAGUGGAGGGAAAGCAUGCCCCCCCCUCCCCAACACAAACCUAUCCGUUAGGGUUAGGGUUCCUGCUUUGUUGUACGCUUGCAGAAUAAAAAGGGCUGUUAAAAGCAGGGUCUGAGGAUUAUAAGGUGGGGGAAUUGCAGGGACAGCGUCACUGGAGAGGAAGAGGGUCAGGUAUGAGGAACUUGGCGAAGAAGCCAAAUAUUUGGAAGAGUGGAACAAGUACGGAGAGGCAUUUAAGGGAAUUGCAGAAGUUUUGUGUGGAAGAACAUCAGGAAUGGGUGCAUUGUCGAGGGAUAUGAACAAGGUAUGAUGGAUGAAGGAAAUAGCAAAGGGAGUUGGUGAAAAUGAGGCUUGGAAGAGGAUAGAGAAGAUCAAGGAUCAAGGGGGACAAUCAUAUUCAGAGCUGCUCCACCUGCAUGGGCAAAAGAAGAAAGCAUUAAGAAUGUGGUGGACAAGAUGAGGAUUGAUAUGGAAGAGGAUUGUGUGAGGAAGAUCUAUAAAUUGACUCAUGAGAGGGAUAAGGAUAGCAAGGACAUGAAGGGAGGAUGGUGAUGGGAGACUAGUGAUAUAGGGGGGAAAUAUUGAAGGUAAGGAAAGGAUAUUUCAAGAAGUUGUUGAAACUGCGAGCAGAGGUUCCGUGUUAUGUGGAGAUUAUGGAGGAGGUGCAGAGAGAAUUAGAAGAUAAAGAAGCUAAUAGUGCCAGGUAUUAAUGAGGUGCAUACAGAGAUGAUAAUUGCAGUGGGAGAUCGACAAAGAGCC